Molecule: ribosomal RNA, 253 nt
Filed under: uncultured bacterium
Lineage: Bacteria
Description: partial 16S ribosomal RNA
Rfam family: Bacterial small subunit ribosomal RNA
Source: RNAcentral
UACGUAGGGUGCGAGCGUUGUCCGGAAUUAUUGGGCGUAAAGAGCUCGUAGGCGGUCCGUCACGUCGGCUGUGAAAACCUGGGGCUCAACCCCGGGCCUGCAGCCGAUACGGGCGGACUAGAAUUCGGUAGGGGAGACUGGAAUUCCUGGUGUAGCGGUGAAAUGCGCAGAUAUCAGGAGGAACACCGGUGGCGAAGGCGGGUCUCUGGGCCGAUAUUGACGCUGAGGAGCGAAAGCGUGGGGAGCGAACAGG